GUCCACGCCCUAACGAUGUCAACUAGGUGUUGGGAGGGUAAACCUUUAGUACCGGAGCUAACGCGUGAAGUUGACCACCUGGGGAGUACGGCCGCAAGGUUAAACUCAAAGGAAUUGACGGGGACCCGCACAAGCGGUGGAUGAUGUGGAUUAAUUCGAUGCAACGCGAAAACCUUACCUACCCUUGACAUGUCAGGAACUUGCCAGAGAUGGCUUGGUGCUCGAAAGAGAACCUGAACACAGGUGCUGCAUGGCUGUCGU
RNAcentral lists this ribosomal RNA (261 nucleotides) under uncultured bacterium. RNAcentral's name for it is "partial 16S ribosomal RNA". It matches the Rfam family "Bacterial small subunit ribosomal RNA", at positions 793 to 1055 of the family's 1533-position model. The record is from RNAcentral.